ACUAUAUCUAUAAAAUAAUGCUAAAAAUCAGAAAAAAGAGGAGCUAACGACGAGAGAGCCGCAACAGUACCAAGAGACCCCCCUACCCCCUCAGCUUUUUCUUCUCACCUCCAAGAGCAGAAGAAAUAGAGAUUUUCUUCCUCUAACGACACAAACCCCCUUCGGACCUUCCCCUGGCUCGUCUUCUCCAAAAACCCCUGCUCUCAUCGUUACCCCCGGAAACCAACACCCACAAGCCCCUAUUUAAUCCAAGUUCAUCGGAAUUCCGCCAUAGCCAUCGAUCCAAACCAACGACCCCUGUUUUCUUCAUACACAACCACUCUUUAACUCCAAAAUUCCAGUCACUGAACAACGCACACAGUCACACACGGACAAAACAAGGCAGAAAAGAACAAUUCUGCUACUCUUGAGUGCUUAUUCGAGGUUUGUUUCGAUCGAAUUUGGAUUGGUCGAGUUCCCAUUUCGGUUCGGUUGCUGUUUUCCGUCGAGUUCCCGUUCCCUAAUUCUAUUGGUAUUUUCCAUCGAGGUCUGUCAUCAUUUUGAUCUUUGGUUGCUCAGUUUGUCUUUUAUGAUGUUAGGGUGUUAGACUUAUGUAAAUUCCAUGCCCAUUUGUGAUACCUAGAAUUGAAAUAUGAUUUUGGAAUGAAAUUUGAUUGCAUGAUUCAAUGGGAAGUUACUGAAACGUUCAUGUAACAAUUUACACAAUUAUUUAUUGAUGAACUCGUUGGAUUUCUGUUCUAUUUUGGGCUGAGUUGAACGCAUCUUGUUUUAUUGUUGGAAAAUGUUUGCAAAUUUGAAUCUACAUGUGAUUGAUUAUUUGUUGAUAAGAGUAAUUCCAUAGCUUAGAAUUAAAUGUUAGAUCCUAAUAUCAUUCUACUAGCUUGGGUUGUUAUGCGGAAGUUCUGUUUUCUAAGUUUUCAAUUUAUAUCUUCGUAAAUUAAUUUGAUUAAGUAGGAUGUCUUUUUCUUUUAAAGAUAAGUAGGAAUAGAAAAUCGCAGUCACUGUUAGGUUAGCCUUUUAACAAAAAAUGAGACGAGC
Molecule: long non-coding RNA, 1038 nt
Filed under: Nicotiana benthamiana
Lineage: Eukaryota; Viridiplantae; Streptophyta; Magnoliopsida; Solanales; Solanaceae
Description: long non-coding RNA (NBEN_LNC030960)
Source: RNAcentral